GUGCCAGCAGCCGCGGUAAGACAGAGGUGCCGAGCGUUAGGCGGAAUCACUGGGCUUAAAGCGCGUGUAGGCGGGUCGUUAAGUGCCUCGUGAAAUCCCACGGCUCAACCGUGGAACCGCGGGGCAUACUGGCGAUCUUGAGAGACCCAGGGGCGAGCGGAACAAGUGGUGGAGCGGUGAAAUGCGUAGAUAUCACUUGGAACGCCGACGGUGAAAACAGCUCGCUGGGGGUCAUCUGACGCUGAGACGCGAAAGCCAGGGGAGCGAACGGGAUUAGAUACCCGCGUAGUCC
This 292-nucleotide ribosomal RNA is filed under the name uncultured bacterium. RNAcentral describes it as "partial 16S ribosomal RNA". It matches the Rfam family "Bacterial small subunit ribosomal RNA", at positions 505 to 796 of the family's 1533-position model. The record is from RNAcentral.